CUACACAUGCAGUCGACGGCAGCACAGGAGAGCUUGCUCUCUGGGUGGCGAGUGGCGGACGGGUGAGGAAUACAUCGGAAUCUACUCUGUCGUGGGGGAUAACGUAGGGAAACUUACGCUAAUACCGCAUACGACCUACGGGUGAAAGCAGGGGACCUUCGGGCCUUGCGCGAUUGAAUGAGCCGAUGUCGGAUUAGCUAGUUGGCGGGGUAAAGGCCCACCAAGGCGACGAUCCGUAGCUGGUCUGAGAGGAUGAUCAGCCACACUGGAACUGAGACACGGUCCAGACUCCUACGGGAGGCAGCAGUGGGGAAUAUUGGACAAUGGGCGCAAGCCUGAUCCAGCCAUACCGCGUGGGUGAAGAAGGCCUUCGGGUUGUAAAGCCCUUUUGUUGGGAAAGAAAUCCAGCUGGCUAAUACCCGGUUGGGAUGACGGUACCCAAAGAAUAAGCACCGGCUAACUUCGUGCCAGCAGCCGCGGUAAUACGAAGGGUGCAAGCGUUACUCGGAAUUACUGGGCGUAAAGCGUGCGUAGGUGGUCGUUUAAGUCCGUUGUGAAAGCCCUGGGCUCAACCUGGGAACUGCACUGGAUACUGGGCGACUAGAAUGUGGUAUAGGGUAGCGGAAUUCCUGGUGUAGCAGUGAAAUGCGUUUAGAUCAUGAGGA
RNAcentral lists this ribosomal RNA (665 nucleotides) under Stenotrophomonas geniculata. RNAcentral describes it as "bacterial SSU rRNA". It matches the Rfam family "Bacterial small subunit ribosomal RNA", at positions 49 to 705 of the family's 1533-position model. Lineage: Bacteria; Pseudomonadati; Pseudomonadota; Gammaproteobacteria; Lysobacterales; Lysobacteraceae. The record is from RNAcentral.